RNAcentral lists this unclassified non-coding RNA (304 nucleotides) under plant metagenome. RNAcentral describes it as "partial contains 5.8S ribosomal RNA, internal transcribed spacer 2, and large subunit ribosomal RNA". The stretch from base 1 to 103 matches the Rfam family "5.8S ribosomal RNA", at positions 52 to 154 of the family's 154-position model. The record is from RNAcentral.
AAUGCGAUAAGUAAUGUGAAUUGCAGAAUUCAGUGAAUCAUCGAAUCUUUGAACGCACAUUGCGCCCGCCAGUAUUCUGGCGGGCAUGCCUGUCCGAGCGUCAUUUCAACCAUCAAGCCCCCGGGCUUGUGUUGGGGACCUGCGGCUGCCCGCAGGCCCUGAAAACCAGUGGCGGGCUCGCCGUCACACCGAGCGUAGUAGCAAUCACCUCGCUCAGGGCGUGCUGCGGGUUCCGGCCGUUAAACAGCCUUACAAAACCCAAGGUUGACCUCGGAUCAGGUAGGAAGACCCGCUGAACUUAAGC